AUUGAACGCUGGCGGCAUGCCUUACACAUGCAAGUCGAACGGUAACAGGUUAAGCUGACGAGUGGCGAACGGGUGAGUAAUGUAUCGGAACGUGCCCAGUCGUGGGGGAUAACUGCUCGAAAGAGCAGCUAAUACCGCAUACGACCUGAGGGUGAAAGCGGGGGAUCGCAAGACCUCGCGCGAUUGGAGCGGCCGAUAUCAGAUUAGGUAGUUGGUGAGGUAAAGGCUCACCAAGCCGACGAUCUGUAGCUGGUCUGAGAGGACGACCAGCCACACUGGGACUGAGACACGGCCCAGACUCCUACGGGAGGCAGCAGUGGGGAAUUUUGGACAAUGGGCGCAAGCCUGAUCCAGCCAUGCCGCGUGCGGGAAGAAGGCCUUCGGGUUGUAAACCGCUUUUGUCAGGGAAGAAAAGGUUCUGGCUAAUACCUGGGACUCAUGACGGUACCUGAAGAAUAAGCACCGGCUAACUACAUG
Molecule: ribosomal RNA, 477 nt
Filed under: uncultured bacterium
Lineage: Bacteria
Description: partial 16S ribosomal RNA
Rfam family: Bacterial small subunit ribosomal RNA
Source: RNAcentral